Molecule: ribosomal RNA, 324 nt
Filed under: uncultured bacterium
Lineage: Bacteria
Description: bacterial SSU rRNA
Rfam family: Bacterial small subunit ribosomal RNA
Source: RNAcentral
GAUGAACGCUGGCGGCGUGCCUAACACAUGCAAGUCGAACGAAGCGAUUUAACAGAAGUUUUCGGAUGGAAGUUGAAUUGACUGAGUGGCGGACGGGUGAGUAACGCGUGGGUAACCUGCCUUGUACUGGGGGACAACAGUUAGAAAUGACUGCUAAUACCGCAUAAGCGCACAGUAUCGCAUGAUACAGUGUGAAAAACUCCGGUGGUACAAGAUGGACCCGCGUCUGAUUAGCUAGUUGGUGGGGUAACGGCCUACCAAGGCUGCGAUGCAUAGCCGACCUGAGAGGGUGAUCGGCCACACCGGGACUGAGACACGGCCCAG